Molecule: ribosomal RNA, 121 nt
Filed under: Diaphorina citri (Asian citrus psyllid)
Lineage: Eukaryota; Metazoa; Arthropoda; Insecta; Hemiptera; Psyllidae
Source: RNAcentral
GCCAACGUUCAUAUCACGUUGAAUACACCAGUUCUCGUCCGAUCACUGAAGUUAAGCAACGUUGAGCGUGGAUAGUACUUUCUACAAUGCUGCAGUGAGCACCAAAGUUGUGAUAUAGUAA